Molecule: ribosomal RNA, 3840 nt
Filed under: Triticum aestivum (bread wheat)
Lineage: Eukaryota; Viridiplantae; Streptophyta; Magnoliopsida; Poales; Poaceae
Description: partial small subunit ribosomal RNA
Source: RNAcentral
AUGGCUUGCGAUGCCGGUGACGGCGAGCCGCGCCCCAACCGCCGUCCGCCGGGCCGCGAUGUGGCCACUCGGUCGUCGCCGGAGGGAUCGCGUCGGGAGACUGAGCUUCGGGAUGCUCUGGUGCGCGCCAAGGACGUGGCGCCGUUCAAGGGCGCUGACUGGCGCGCGGCCCGUCCCCGGGAGCGCUCCCCCUCGUCUUGGCGUGGUCGGGAUCGGGAUCGUCCUUCUCCCCGUCCGUCCCGGUCUCCGCCCCGGUCUGGUCGUUCUGAGGCCUCCCCGCCCCGGCGCUAUGACCCUCCCCACCGCCAGGCCCAGUUCCCUCCGGCCAGCCCCAACAACGGCAACAACCGCAAUGGUCGUGGAGCGUUUGCUAAGAAGAAGAAGAAGAAGAAGAAGCGUGGAGCGCAAUCUCAGCUAGGUGGUCCGUCCUCCUCAGUCACCCACCCGCCGGUGCCGGCCGUCCCUCCGCCUGCCGUGACGGCGGCUACGUGCUUCAACUGCGGGGUGGCCGGGCACUGCCAGGUGGAUUUCACUCAGCCUCUGGCCUGCUUCCGCUGCUCGAGGACGGACCAUCCUGCCGCGCUUUGCCCCGACCACCAGCCCAUUGGGGCGCUUGGGUUGUUCGGUUACGCGCUUGAUGAUCUAGGCUUCUUCCAGAUGGACCUCCCCGAGGCCCGGGCCGCUCCGCCCAUGUCCGCUCUCAUCUCGGUCUUGGACGGAAAGACGGCGUCCCCGGCCAUCAUCUCCGACGAGCUUCGCCACCUGUUCAACCCGGACUGGGAUUGGGAGGUCACCCCGAUCUCAGACCGGGAGUUCUCGGUGAUCUUCCCCGACCCCGUCAGCCUUCGCUAUGGCACCCACAGCGCCAGACUCAUGCUCGCCCUCAACCAGCUCUCAGUCCGCAUCUCGGUCCCUUCGGUGGACCCUCUCGCAGUGGCCACCCCGUCCACGGUUUGGGUGCAGAUUCGUGGGCUCCCCGCGCCUGCCCACGACGAGGGUGUCCUCCGUGGCUUGUCCCGCCUGCUGGGCAAGUUUGUGGCAGUUGACAGCGCCUCUCUGCCCAAGGGCCCGGCUGUGCGGAUGCAGAUCAAGUCCCCCGACCCCUCCAAGCUCAAGACGACGAUCCGCAUGUUCUUCAACGACGUUGGCUACGACCUGCACGUCUCCGUUGAGGGUGGGACUCCCACUGAUCCCCUCAACCCGGAGGCGGGAGGUGGCGCCGCUCCAGGAUCAGAUGGGGGGCUGAUGCUCCGGGCUCCCCCCGAGGUCCUCGUCGCCACUCACCCCGCUCUGAGGCCUCCGACGAUGACUCGACUGAUCCUGGGAAUGACGGAGAGCGAGGUCAGCCGGGGUAGCAUGGAGGUUCGUCCUCCGUCCUCCCCGCGGCUGGUGUCCCCGGUGCCAGGCCGGGAGGACCUCUCGGUGCCGACGCUUCCGGAGUCUCCCGUGGCUCCGCCUCCUUCCCCGUCCUCCAGGCUCCCCAGGUCCCGGGGCCGUCCUCGUUCGGCCUCUACCCCGGUGUCAUCUGCCCGGAAGAGUGCCAGGCUUGGGGCAGCGUCAGGACUAUCCGGGGCGUCCUCGAACACGGUGGAGAAGGCUUCGCGACGUGCCACCAUCCGCAACCUCGACACAGGUCCGUCUGCCUCUCAGGCCCCUUGCUCUGAUUCCGAUGAUUUCUGUGAUGCAUCUUUUUCCGCUCUUGCUGGGGUUCCUCUUGGUCACCUUGCCAAGGUAGCGGCUGAUUCGGCUAUUGUUUUCCGUGGCGAGAAGGGCCCGGCCCUUGAGCAGCUUGCGUCCCUCCAGGCAAAAGAGAUCCUGGAGGGCCACCUCGCAGCCAUUAGGGCUCGCGAGGCGGCAGCAGCUGCGGAAGCCCCCACCCCUCCACCUCGCCGUCCCCGUGGUCGUGUCCACCCUGAGGCCGACCCAAGUGAGUUCUUGAAGGUAUGGGGGGCGAACAUUGGGAGGGACCUUCGGAUUCAGAAGGCCUCCUGCCUCGAGGAGAUCCAGGACCUUGACCUCCGUGCAGAUAUCGCAGGGAUCUCCGCGGAGGAAUGGAUGCAUAGAUACAAUUUGGAGGACUCCCUUAUGGAGAUUUACUCCAAGGAGGAAGAGUUUUGGCGCCAACGUGGCUCCAUUAACUGGGUGCUAUUUGGGGAUGCCAACACUGCUUACUUCCAGGCCAUCGCUAAUGGCCAGGCAACAAUGAGAUGGCAGUGUAUGGGUGAAGGGAGAGAUGCUCUGCCUGUAAAGAGAGUGGCAAUGGCUGCAUUCACUGACAGACAGCAAGCAUUGCAUAUACUGCUUGCUCAUGUCCUUUCAAGCCAGCUUGCUGCAGUGACACGCAGCUUACCACCACCAUCUCAUCAUCAGUUCAACCACAAGCCAAGCACCACAACAACACCCAGCGGGCUCAAAAGUUUCUCUGAACUUUCCGCCAAGAAACAAGGAGAAGCAGUCAUGGUCAGUGCCAAGAGGCUCGCCCAACUGGCAAAGAAGUGGCAGAGGAUGGCGGCCAUGGGGAGGAAGAGGCUCACCCAGACUACGACCGUGAAAAGAGCAGCCGAGGAGUGCUGCGCAAUAAACUCAGUAGCGGUGAAGGGACACUGCAUGGUGUAUACAGCCGAUGGGCGGCGGUUCAAGGUGCCACUGGUGUACCUCGACACGGUGGUCUUCGGCGAGCUCCUGAGGAUGUCUCAGGAGGAGUUUGGGUUUGCAAGCGGCCAUGAUGGUAGGAUCACGCUGCCCUGUGACGCUGCCAUGCACUUCCUCAAGAGAGAUGCCACUGCGGAAGUAAUGAUGGUGCUCCUGAGCUCCAUUGAGAGGCCGUGCUGCUUUGAUAGCGGCCUCGUUGCACUCACAAUGGAUGCUUAUCCUUGUUCAUUUCUUGGUUCAAAGUUCAGAGACGACAGCUUCAGCCGGAGGAAGUACAGCCACAAGUUAAUCCACGACUGCAAGUACCCAAGUGUCCAUCACAAUGCUGGUAUCUGGGUCCAUCACAAUGCUAGAGAAGGGCUGAUCACAUUCUCUGCUCUCCCACCCUACGCCCACCACACUGCCGCCAAAGCUGCUGCACGGCCUCGCGACGGAGCAUCUCUCCGGAGCAAGCACAUGGCAUACUCCAUGACCGCGGCAUCGCAGGGCAGUGUGAUCCUCCCGUCGUCACCGCCUACAAAGCUGAAUUCCUCCUGGGACAUCAUCAGGAGCUCGCCCAAGACCGCGGUGCUGAGGUACGCCAGCGGCACCUCGAACCGCACGCUGUCAGCGGUGUACACCACACAGUGGCCCUUCAUCGCCACCGACGGUGAAGUCGUACAGCGCUCGUCAUUGGCUGCUCCUUCUGCGGCUGUAGUGGUCUGGCCAAAAAAAACAAGGAGAACCAGUCAUGGUCAGUGCCAAGAGGCUUGCCCAACUGGCAAUGAAGUGGCAGAGCAUGGUGGCUAUUGGGAGGAAGAGGAUCACCCAGACUACAAUGGCGAAAAGAGCCGCUGCCGAAUGCCGCGCGGUGACCUCAGUGACGGACUGACGGUGAAGGGACACUGCAUGGUAUACACCUCGGAUGGCAGCCGGUUUGAGGUGCCACUGGAGUACCUCAGCACAGCGGUCUUCGGUGAGCUCCUGAGGAUGUCUCAGGAGGAGUUUGGAUUCGCGGGCGGAGAUGACGGUCGCAUCACGCUGCCCUGCGACACUGCAGUCAUGGAAUACGCCAUGUGUUUGCUCAGGAGAGAUGCCUCCACAGAAGUAGUGAUGGCGUUCCUGAGCUCCAUUGCAAGACCGUGCUGCUUUGAUGGCGGUGUGGUGGUGCCAUGCGUAGGGCUUAACCAUUAUGUAGGUGUUUGUUAG